RNAcentral lists this ribosomal RNA (484 nucleotides) under uncultured bacterium. RNAcentral's name for it is "partial 16S ribosomal RNA". It matches the Rfam family "Bacterial small subunit ribosomal RNA", at positions 30 to 507 of the family's 1533-position model. The record is from RNAcentral.
AUUGAACGCUGGCGGCAGGCCUAACACAUGCAAGUCGAGCGGAUGAAGGGAGCUUGCUCCUGGAUUCAGCGGCGGACGGGUGAGUAAUGCCUAGGAAUCUGCCUGGUAGUGGGGGAUAACGUCCGGAAACGGGCGCUAAUACCGCAUACGUCCUGAGGGAGAAAGUGGGGGAUCUUCGGACCUCACGCUAUCAGAUGAGCCUAGGUCGGAUUAGCUAGUUGGUGGGGUAAAGGCCUACCAAGGCGACGAUCCGUAACUGGUCUGAGAGGAUGAUCAGUCACACUGGAACUGGGACACGGUCCAGACUCCUACGGGAGGCAGCAGUGGGGAAUAUUGGACAAUGGGCGAAAGCCUGAUCCAGCCAUGCCGCGUGUGUGAAGAAGGUCUUCGGAUUGUAAAGCCCUUUAAGUUGGGAGGAAGGGCAGUAAGUUAAUACCUUGCUGUUUUGACGUUACCAACAGAAUAAGCACCGGCUAACUUCGUG